RNAcentral lists this ribosomal RNA (851 nucleotides) under uncultured marine crenarchaeote. RNAcentral describes it as "bacterial SSU rRNA". It matches the Rfam family "Archaeal small subunit ribosomal RNA", at positions 69 to 907 of the family's 1478-position model. The record is from RNAcentral. Lineage: Archaea; Thermoproteati; Thermoproteota.
UGGCGGGGAGUGGCAAACUGCUCAGUAACACGUAGCUAACCUGCCCUCGGGACGGGAAUAACCCCGGGAAACUGGGGCUAAUACCCGAUAGGCGUGGAUUCCUGGAAUGGUUUCACGUCUAAAUGUAACCGCAUCCAUGUUUGCGGGCACGCCCGAGGAUGGGGCUGCGGCCGAUCAGGCAGUUGGUGGGGUAACGGCCCACCAAACCUUUGACCGGUACGGGCCAUGAGAGUGGUAGCCCGGAGAUGGGCACUGAGACAAGGGCCCAGGCCCUACGGGGCGCAGCAGGCGCGAAACCUCCACAAUUCACGAAAGUGAGAUGGGGUUACCUCGAGUGCCGCCUGAAGAAGGCGGCUUUUCCACGGUGUAAUGAGCCGUGGGAAUAAGGGGGGGGCAAGACUGGUGUCAGCCGCCGCGGUAACACCAGCCCCCCGAGUGGUGGGGAUGAUUAUUUGGCCUAAAGCGUCCGUAGCCGGCCCGGUAAAUCUCUCGUUAAAUCCAGCGUCUCAAGCGUUGGGCUGCGAGGAACACUGCCGGACUAGAGGGUGGGAGAGGUCAGCGGUAUUUCUGGGGUAGGGGCGAAAUCCAUUGAUCCCAGGAGGACCACCAGUGGCGAAGGCUGCUGACUAGAACACGCCUGACGGUGAGGGACGAAAGCUGGGGUAGCGAAUCGGAUUAGAUACCCGAGUAGUCCCAGCCGUAAACGAUGCAGGCUAGGUGUUGGAUUGGCCACGCGCCAGCUCAGUGCCACAGGGAAGCCAUUAAGCCUGCCGCCUGGGGAGUACGGCGCAAGGCUGAAACUUAAAGGAAUUGGCGGGGGAGCACCACAGCGUGAAGCCUGCGGUUUAAUU